GAUGAACGCUGGCGGCGUGCCUAAUACAUGCAAGUCGAGCGAACAGACGAGGAGCUUGCUCCUCUGACGUUAGCGGCGGACGGGUGAGUAACACGUGGAUAACCUACCUAUAAGACUGGGAUAACUUCGGGAAACCGGAGCUAAUACCGGAUAAUAUAUUGAACCGCAUGGUUCAAUAGUGAAAGACGGUUUUGCUGUCACUUAUAGAUGGAUCCGCGCCGCAUUAGCUAGUUGGUAAGGUAACGGCUUACCAAGGCGACGAUGCGUAGCCGACCUGAGAGGGCGAGCGCCCACACUGGACCUGAGACACGGUCCAGACUCCUAGGGGAGGCAGCAGUGGGGAAUUUUCGACAAGGGGAGAAAGCCUGAGGGAGCAACGCCGCGUGUGUGAAGAAGGUUUUCGGGUUGUAAAGCUCUUUUGUGAGGAAAGAAAAAUUGGGCAAGAAUAUAGGCGGGUUUUGACGGUACCGAACGAAAAAGCACCGGCUAACUACGUG
Molecule: ribosomal RNA, 497 nt
Filed under: uncultured bacterium
Lineage: Bacteria
Description: partial 16S ribosomal RNA
Rfam family: Bacterial small subunit ribosomal RNA
Source: RNAcentral